Molecule: ribosomal RNA, 253 nt
Filed under: uncultured bacterium
Lineage: Bacteria
Description: partial 16S ribosomal RNA
Rfam family: Bacterial small subunit ribosomal RNA
Source: RNAcentral
UACGGGGGGGGCAAGCGUUGUUCGGAAUUACUGGGCGUAAAGGGCUUGUAGGCGGCCAACUAAGUCCGACGUGAAAUCCCCAGGCUUAACCUGGGAACUGCGUCGGAUACUGGAUGGCUUGAAUUCGGGAGAGGGAUGCAGAAUUCCAGGUGUAGCGGUGAAAUGCGUAGAUAUCUGGAGGAAUACCGGUGGCGAAGGCGGCAUCCUGGACCAUUACUGACGCUGAGGCGCGAAAGCUAGGGGAGCAAACGGG